UUGGGAAUCUUGCACAAUGGGGGAAACCCUGAUGCAGCGACGCCGCGUGGAGGAUGAAGGGUCUAGGCUCGUAAACUCCUUUUAUCGGGAAAGACUUAGGACGGUACCCGAUGAAUAAGGACCGGCUAACUACGUGCCAGCAGCCGCGGUAAGACGUAGGGUCCAAGCGUUGUCCGGAUUUACUGGGCGUAAAGAGCGCGUAGGCGGUCUAUUAAGUGAGAAGUGAAAUCUCUAGGGCUCAACCCAGAAACUGCUUUUCAUACUGAUAGACUUGAGGAAUGCAGAGGUCAGUGGAAUUCCUGGUGUAGCGGUGAAAUGCGUUGAUAUCAGGAGGAACACCCAUGGCGAAGGCAGCUGACUGGGCAUUAUCUGACGCUGAGGCGCGAAAGCGUGGGUAGCAAACAGG
Molecule: ribosomal RNA, 406 nt
Filed under: uncultured bacterium
Lineage: Bacteria
Description: bacterial SSU rRNA
Rfam family: Bacterial small subunit ribosomal RNA
Source: RNAcentral